This 355-nucleotide ribosomal RNA is filed under the name bacterium. RNAcentral describes it as "bacterial SSU rRNA". It matches the Rfam family "Bacterial small subunit ribosomal RNA", at positions 1 to 374 of the family's 1533-position model. The record is from RNAcentral.
CUUAUUGAGAGUUUGAUCCUAGCUCAGGACGAACGCUGGCGGCGUGGAUAAGGCAUGCAAGUCGAAAGGGUUUAGACCCUUGGCGAACGAGUUAGUAAUACGUAGGUACAUCCCUCUGACUCGGGCAUAAUUUGCCGAAAGGCAAGAUAAUUCCCGAUGGUCUCGCAAGAGUAAAGGAUCCCGCAUUUGCGGGAUUCGGUGAGAGAGUGGCCUGCGCCCUAUCAGCUAGUUGGUGAGGUAAUGGCUCACCAAGGCUAUGACGGGUAGGGGGCGUGAGAGCGUGUUCCCCAACGAUGGCACUGAGAUACGGGCCCUACUCCUACGGGAGGCUGCAGUCGAGAAUCUUCCACAAUGG